GUGAGGAAUCUUCCACAAUGGGGGCAACCCUGAUGGAGCAACGCCGCGUGCAGGAUGAAGGCCUUCGGGUUGUAAACUGCUUUUAUAAGUGAAGAAUAUGACGGUAACUUAUGAAUAAGGAUCGGCUAACUACGUGCCAGCAGCCGCGGUCAUACGUAGGAUCCGAGCGUUAUCCGGAGUGACUGGGCGUAAAGAGUUGCGUAGGCGGUUAGUAAAGUGAAUAGUGAAAUCUGGUGGCUCAACCAUUCAGGCUAUUAUUCAAACUCACUAACUCGAGAGUGGUAGAGGUAACUGGAAUUUCUUGUGUAGGAGUGAAAUCCGUAGAUAUAAGAAGGAACACCAAUGGCGUAGGCAGGUUACUGGACCAUUUCUGACGCUAAGGCACGAAAGCGUGGGGAGCGAACCGGAUUAGAUACCCUAGUAGUCC
This 427-nucleotide ribosomal RNA is filed under the name uncultured bacterium. Its description in RNAcentral is "bacterial SSU rRNA". It matches the Rfam family "Bacterial small subunit ribosomal RNA", at positions 354 to 796 of the family's 1533-position model. The record is from RNAcentral.